Molecule: RNase P RNA, 385 nt
Filed under: Candidatus Cloacimonadota bacterium
Lineage: Bacteria; Pseudomonadati; Candidatus Cloacimonadota
Also listed under: 2 other names
Description: RNase P RNA component class A
Rfam family: Bacterial RNase P class A
About the family: Ribonuclease P (RNase P) is a ubiquitous endoribonuclease, found in archaea, bacteria and eukarya as well as chloroplasts and mitochondria. Its best characterised activity is the generation of mature 5'-ends of tRNAs by cleaving the 5'-leader elements of precursor-tRNAs. Cellular RNase Ps are ribonucleoproteins.
Source: RNAcentral
CGGGAAAAUUAGAUGUUCGCUGCUACUGAAAAGUAGGAGAGGAAAGUCUGGACACCAAAGGGCAGGAUACUUCCUAACAGGAAGCUGCAGUAAUGCAGAGCUAGCUCCACAGAAAUAAACCGCCUGAAGCAGCGUUUUAAUAAAAUCUACUUCAGGUAAGGGUGAAAUGGUGGUGUAAGAGACCACCGGGAAUCUUGGUGACAGGAUUUGCCAGGAAAGCCUUAUCCGGUGCAAUGCCAAAUAGAGAAGUCAGGAAGUGUUGCCCGCACGAUUAUGGCUUCUGGGUAGGCAGCUAAAAUCUAUUCGUGAGAAUAGAUGUAGAGGAAUGGACAUCAACCUCCUUAAUGUAAGAGGUACAGAAUCCGGCUUAUUAUUUUCCCGUGAG